Molecule: ribosomal RNA, 444 nt
Filed under: uncultured bacterium
Lineage: Bacteria
Description: partial 16S ribosomal RNA
Rfam family: Bacterial small subunit ribosomal RNA
Source: RNAcentral
CUACGGGGGGCUCCAGUGGGGAAUAUUGCACAACGGGCGCAAGCCUGAUGCAGCAACGCCGCGUGGGGGACGACGGCCUUCGGGUUGUAAACCUCUUUUAGUAGGGAAGAAGCGCAAGUGACGGUACCUACAGAAAAAGCACCGGCUAACUACGUGCCAGCAGCCGCGGUAAUACGUAGGGUGCAAGCGUUGUCCGGAAUUAUUGGGCGUAAAGAGCUCGUAGGCGGUUUGUCGCGUCUGCUGUGAAAAUCCGGGGCUCAACCUCGGACCUGCAGUGGGUACGGGCAAACUAGAGUGCGGUAGGGGAGAUUGGAAUUCCUGGUGUAGCGGUGGAAUGCGCAGAUAUCAGGAGGAACACCAAUGGCGAAGGCAGAUCUCUGGGCCGUAACUGACGCUGAGGAGCGAAAGCGUGGGGAGCGAACAGGAUUAGAUACCCCUGUAGUC